RNAcentral lists this ribosomal RNA (577 nucleotides) under uncultured bacterium. RNAcentral's name for it is "bacterial SSU rRNA". It matches the Rfam family "Bacterial small subunit ribosomal RNA", at positions 275 to 849 of the family's 1533-position model. The record is from RNAcentral.
GACGAUGCGUAGGGGUUCUGAGAGGAAGGUCCCCCACACUGGUACUGAGACACGGACCAGACUCCUACGGGAGGCAGCAGUGAGGAAUAUUGGUCAAUGGGAGAGAUCCUGAACCAGCCAAGCCGCGUGAGGGAAGACGGCCCUAUGGGUUGUAAACCUCUUUUGUCGGAGAACAAAACCCGGGACGAGUCCCGGACUGCGUGUAUCCGAAGAAAAAGCAUCGGCUAACUCCGUGCCAGCAGCCGCGGUAAUACGGAGGAUGCGAGCGUUAUCCGGAUUUAUUGGGUUUAAAGGGUGCGUAGGCGGUCCGUUAAGUCAGCGGUAAAAUUGCGGGGCUCAACCCCGUCGAGCCGUUGAAACUGGCAGACUUGAGUUGGCGAGAAGUACGCGGAAUGCGCGGUGUAGCGGUGAAAUGCAUAGAUAUCGCGCAGAACUCCGAUUGCGAAGGCAGCGUACCGGCGCCACACUGACGCUGAGGCACGAAAGCGUGGGGAUCGAACAGGAUUAGAUACCCUGGUAGUCCACGCAGUAAACGAUGAAUGCUGGUUGUCCGGGUCGAAUGAGAUCUGGGCGGCGA